This 405-nucleotide ribosomal RNA is filed under the name uncultured bacterium. Its description in RNAcentral is "bacterial SSU rRNA". It matches the Rfam family "Bacterial small subunit ribosomal RNA", at positions 359 to 776 of the family's 1533-position model. The record is from RNAcentral.
GAAUUUUCCGCAAUGGGCGAAAGCCUGACGGAGCAACGCCGCGUGAGGGAUGAAGGCCUUCGGGUUGUAAACCUCUUUCAGUAGGGAAGAAGCGGAAGUGACGGUACCUGCAGAAGAAGCGCCGGCUAACUACGUGCCAGCAGCCGCGGUAAUACGUAGGGCGCAAGCGUUAUCCGGAAUUAUUGGGCGUAAAGAGCUCGUAGGCGGUUUGUCGCGUCUGCCGUGAAAGUCCGGGGCUUAACUCCGGAUCUGCGGUGGGUACGGGCAGACUUGAGUGAUGUAGGGGAGACUGGAAUUCCUGGUGUAGCGGUGAAAUGCGCAGAUAUCAGGAGGAACACCGAUGGCGAAGGCAGGUCUCUGGGCAUUAACUGACGCUGAGGAGCGAAAGCAUGGGGAGCGAACAGG